GAGGGGAGCGCCCUAUCCUGGGCUGUGUCCCCCCGCACCCUGGGCUCCAGGGCCUGCGAUGCUGGAAUCGCGCUCCCGGGGCCGCACAGCCCCCU
Molecule: microRNA precursor, 95 nt
Filed under: Canis lupus familiaris (dog)
Lineage: Eukaryota; Metazoa; Chordata; Mammalia; Carnivora; Canidae
Also listed under: 1 other name
Description: mir-8799 microRNA precursor family
Rfam family: mir-8799 microRNA precursor family
Source: Rfam by way of RNAcentral